This 254-nucleotide ribosomal RNA is filed under the name uncultured bacterium. RNAcentral's name for it is "partial 16S ribosomal RNA". It matches the Rfam family "Bacterial small subunit ribosomal RNA", at positions 524 to 776 of the family's 1533-position model. The record is from RNAcentral.
UACGAGUGCCUCAAGCGUUAUCCGGAAUUAUUGGGCGUAAAGGGUGUGUAGGUGGUUUUGUUAGUCUUCUGUUAAAUCUCUUGGCUUAACCAUGAGUCUAUAGAGGAAACGGCAGGACUUAGAGUAUGCGAGGGGUCUGUGGAACUCAUAGUGUAGCGGUGAAAUGCGUUGAUAUUAUGGGGAACACCAAAAGCGAAGGCAGCAGACUGGAGCAUUACUGACACUGAAACACGAAAGCGUGGGGAGCGAAUGGG